CCUACGGGUGGCAGCAGUGAGGAAUAUUGGUCAAUGGACGCAAGUCUGAACCAGCCAUGCCGCGUGCAGGAAGACGGCUCUAUGAGUUGUAAACUUCUUUUAUACAAGGGUAAACGCAGGUACGUGUAUCUGUCUGACAGUAUCUUAUGAAUAAGGAUCGGAUAACUCCGUGCCAGCAGCCGCGGUAAUACGGAGAGUGCAAGCGUUAUCCGGAUUUAUUGGGUUUAAAGGGUGCGUAGGUGGUCGGUUAAGUCAGAGGUGAAAUCCAGCGGCUUAGCGUUGCAAUUGCCUGUGAUAGAGUUAGGCUAGAGAGUAGUUGCGGUAGGCGGAAUGGGUGGUGUAGCGGUGAAAUGCUUA
This 357-nucleotide ribosomal RNA is filed under the name uncultured bacterium. RNAcentral describes it as "partial 16S ribosomal RNA". It matches the Rfam family "Bacterial small subunit ribosomal RNA", at positions 338 to 692 of the family's 1533-position model. The record is from RNAcentral.